AUACGGAGGGUGCGAGCGUUAAUCGGAAUUACUGGGCGUAAAGCGCGCGUAGGCGGUUGGGUAAGUCGGAUGUGAAAGCCCCGGGCUUAACCUGGGAAUUGCAUUCGAUACUGCCCGGCUAGAGCAUGGUAGAGGGAAGCGGAAUUCCGGGUGUAGCGGUGAAAUGCGUAGAUAUCCGGAGGAACACCAGUGGCGAAGGCGGCUUCCUGGACCAAUUCUGACGCUGAGGUGCGAAAGCGUGGGGAGCAAACAGGAUUAGAAACCCCAGUAGUCC
This 274-nucleotide ribosomal RNA is filed under the name uncultured bacterium. RNAcentral describes it as "partial 16S ribosomal RNA". It matches the Rfam family "Bacterial small subunit ribosomal RNA", at positions 523 to 796 of the family's 1533-position model. The record is from RNAcentral.